UGGGGAAUUUUGGACAAUGGGCGAAAGCCUGAUCCAGCAAUGCCGCGUGAGUGAAGAAGGCCUUCGGGUUGUAAAGCUCUUUUGUCAGGGAAGAAACGGUGAGGGCUAAUAUCCCUUGCUAAUGACGGUACCUGAAGAAUAAGCACCGGCUAACUACGUGCCAGCAGCCGCGGUAAUACGUAGGGUGCAAGCGUUAAUCGGAAUUACUGGGCGUAAAGCGUGCGCAGGCGGUUUUGUAAGUCUGAUGUGAAAUCCCCGGGCUCAACCUGGGAAUUGCAUUGGAGACUGCAAGGCUAGAAUCUGGCAGAGGGGGGUAGAAUUCCACGUGUAGCAGUGAAAUGCGUAGAUAUGUGGAGGAACACCGAUGGCGAAGGCAGCCCCCUGGGUCAAGAUUGACGCU
Molecule: ribosomal RNA, 400 nt
Filed under: uncultured bacterium
Lineage: Bacteria
Description: bacterial SSU rRNA
Rfam family: Bacterial small subunit ribosomal RNA
Source: RNAcentral